GUGCUCGCUUCGGCAGCACAUAUACUAAAAUUGGAAAGAUACUGAGAAGAUUAGCAUGGCUGUGCGCAAGGAUGACAUGCAAAUUCGUGAAGCGUUCCAUAUUUGA
This is a small nuclear RNA of Myotis lucifugus (little brown bat), 106 nucleotides long. Lineage: Eukaryota; Metazoa; Chordata; Mammalia; Chiroptera; Vespertilionidae. The record is from Ensembl.